UCCUAUAUUCUUGGUUUUAUAUAACUAUGAGAAGAAGUAAAUGAACAGAUGUUGUCUCCUAACAAUAUUUGAACAUGAGUUUAGUUUCUCGUUGAAAUUCAAUGUCUUCUGAGGAAAAUUGGAAUAUGAUAGAAACUGGAAAAGAAGGAAAAAAUUAGCAAGAAAAGUGACUUGCAUGGAAUCAUUGCUGACAAAUAGAAUGUGAUUCAAUGGGGGUAAUAAUCAGGUUUUAUCUUUAUUUCCCUUGAUUAUUAUUAUUUUUCUAUCCUUUAUAAGUUAUGAUAUUUAUUUCAUAAAUGUUAGGAUAGA
This 309-nucleotide long non-coding RNA is filed under the name Solanum tuberosum (potato). RNAcentral's name for it is "long non-coding RNA (STUB_LNC009852)". Lineage: Eukaryota; Viridiplantae; Streptophyta; Magnoliopsida; Solanales; Solanaceae. The record is from RNAcentral.